UACAGAGGAUGCAAGCGUUAUCCGGAAUGAUUGGGCGUAAAGCGUCUGUAGGUGGCUUUUUAAGUCCGCCGUCAAAUCCCAGGGCUCAACUCUGGACAGGCGGUGGAAACUACCAAGCUGGAGUACGGUAGGGGCAGAGGGAAUUUCCGGUGUAGCGGUGAAAUGCGUAGAUAUCAGGAGGAACACCGGUGGCGAAGGCGGUUCUCUGGGCCUGUACUGACGCUGAGGAGCGAAAGCGUGGGGAGCGAACAGG
Molecule: ribosomal RNA, 253 nt
Filed under: uncultured bacterium
Lineage: Bacteria
Description: partial 16S ribosomal RNA
Rfam family: Bacterial small subunit ribosomal RNA
Source: RNAcentral